GGAAGGGCGGAGCCGGCCCCGAGGCACCGCCCCCUGCCCUGCGCGGCUGCUGGACCGACGGGCGCGCCCAGGUAGGGGGGCGGCUGAGCCGCGCAGUGCGGACCCUCGCGGGGAACUGCGCCGCCGCCACCAUGUCUCAGGAAGGUGUGGAGCUGGAGAAGAGCGUCCGGCGCCUCCGGGAGAAGUUUCAUGGGAAGGUAUCCUCCAAGAAGGCGGGGGCUCUGAUGAGGAAAUUCGGCAGCGACCACACGGGAGUGGGGCGCUCCAUCGUGUACGGGGUAAAGCAAAAAGAUGGCCAAGAACUAAGUAACGAUCUGGAUGCCCAGGAUCCACCAGAAGAUAUGAAACAGGACCGGGACAUUCAGGCAGUGGCGACCUCCCUCCUGCCACUGACAGAAGCCAACCUACGCAUGUUUCAACGUGCCCAGGACGACCUUAUCCCUGCUGUGGACCGGCAGUUUGCCUGCUCCUCCUGCGACCACGUCUGGUGGCGCCGCGUGCCCCAGCGGAAGGAGGUAUCCCGGUGCCGGAAAUGCCGGAAGCGCUACGAGCCAGUGCCAGCUGACAAGAUGUGGGGCCUGGCUGAGUUCCACUGCCCGAAGUGUCGGCACAACUUCCGGUGAGGGCGCUGACCCCCAGCUCCCCCUCAGCCCUGCCCUACCCCAGCCCUGCCCUCCCUGCCCUGGCCCCACCCUGGCCCAGCCUCGCCCUCGGACCCUCACAGCCCUGCCCGCCCCCAGGGGCUGGGCACAGAUGGGGUCCCCGUCCCCCUGCUACGGGUGCGGCUUCCCCGUGUAUCCAACACGGAUCCUCCCCCCGCGCUGGGACCGGGACCCGGAUCGCCGCAGCACCCACACUCACUCCUGCUCAGCUGCCGACUGCUACAACCGGCGAGAGCCCCACGUGCCUGGGACAUCCUGUGCUCACCCCAAGAGCCGGAAGCAGAACCACCUGCCCAAAGUGCUCCACCCCAGCAACCCUCACAUUAGCAGUGGCUCCACUGUGGCCACCUGCUUGAGCCAGGGCGGCCUCCUGGAAGACCUGGACAACCUCAUCCUGGAGGACCUGAAGGAGGAGGAGGAGGAAGAGGAGGAGGUGGAGGACGAGGAGGGCGGGCCCAGGGAGUGACCCCUGCCAGGUGCAGAUACAAACCAGACACGGUCUGUGGCUACUUUGUGUUAUUAUAAGAUAUGAGCUCAAACCGAGAUAUGAAUGACCUUGGGGAGCCAUCUGGGGCCAAGAUAUUGACAGGGGGGAUUCCUGGGUCCCAUUUCAGCGCCCAGGGUCACAGAUCCCCAGUGGGAAGUUCUAUGGGACACACUGGCACUGAGUCACAAAGAAGGUGUGGCCAGAACAACUUGGGCUCCUGCUGACCAAUGUCCCCUGGGGCUUAGGGGACAGAGGAACAGAGAGUCACAGCUUCAAGGGCCGAAUGAGCAUGGCGGCCUUCCUGAGAGAGUAUGCCCCACCACGAAACUCAGCCCAGUAGACACCAUCCUGGUAGCGGCUUCGGUAGUGGCCGCCGUGGUGCCACACACCGUUGAGGUUGGAGUGGGCACAGGCAUGGUACCACCAGCCUCCCCGCUGGUACAGGGCACAGUUACCUGAGGGGAGAGAGAGAGUCCAUGUCCUCUCACCAGAAUAAAAGCCUCUACCUGCACCUCACAGUGCAAGGCUUUUGCCAGGCAUCCCCUGGCCCCUCCCAUUCUUAUUGAAUACAAGCCCUGAUCUUCCAUCUCCUCAGCAAAAAAAUAGGAGCCCUGUCCCCCCAACUUUCUUCAGAAUAAUAGCCUUAAUUCCUUCCCUAUCUCCUUACCAAAGUACAAGUCACACGUUUCCCACCUUUUCUGCAAACUAGGAGUCUACCGUUCAUUCCUUUAUCAAAGAAAAGAAAAUUAUCUACUUCCUUUCUGGCAUAAGAGUACUAGCUCUCACCCUCUGCCCUUUACUUGAACAGGAGUCUUGAUUCUUUUUUUGCCUCAUCAGAGAAGGAAUCUGGACUCCCCAUCCCCUCACCAGGAUAAAAGUCCUGACCUUUGUUCUCUUGACAGAAUAAAAGCUUGCUUAUCCUUAUACUUACCA
This 2082-nucleotide small RNA is filed under the name Pongo abelii (Sumatran orangutan). Its description in RNAcentral is "retained intron". Lineage: Eukaryota; Metazoa; Chordata; Mammalia; Primates; Hominidae. The record is from RNAcentral.